CGGCCGCGGCACUAAAACCGUGCAAAGGUAGCACAAUCACUUGUCCCUUAAAUGAGGACCCGUAUGAAAGGCAACAUGAGAGAAAACCUGUCUCCCAAGGCCAGCCAAUGAAAUUGAACUACCAGUACAAAAGCUGAUAUCUACAAGCAAGACAAAAAGACCCUGUGGAACUUUAACAAGUUGCUUACACAAAAUAAACAAUAGUUUCAGUUGGGACAACUUUAGAAAAAAUUAACCUCUAAAAUAAAACAGACCAACAAGUCAAAACUCCAUCUAUGACCCAGUCUUACUGAUUAACGAAACAAGCUACCCCAGGGAUAACAGCGCCACCUUCUCAAAGAGUCCAUAUCAACAAGAAGAUCUACGACCUCGAUGUUGGAUCCGGGUACCCAGACGGUGCAGCAGCUGUCAAAGGUUCGUUUGUUCAACGAUUAACACCC
RNAcentral lists this ribosomal RNA (440 nucleotides) under Kinyongia vanheygeni. RNAcentral describes it as "partial 16S ribosomal RNA". It matches the Rfam family "Bacterial large subunit ribosomal RNA", at positions 1928 to 2596 of the family's 2925-position model. Lineage: Eukaryota; Metazoa; Chordata; Lepidosauria; Squamata; Chamaeleonidae. The record is from RNAcentral.